CCUACGGGUGGCAGCAGUCGAGAAUCAUUCACAAUGGGGGAAACCCUGAUGGUGCGACGCCGCGUGGGGGAAUGAAGGUCUUCGGAUUGUAAACCCCUGUCAUGUGGGAGCAAAUUAAAAAGAUAGUACCACAAGAGGAAGAGACGGCCAACUCUGUGCCCGCAGCCGCGGUAAUACAGAGGGCUCAAGCGUUGUUCGGAAGCACUGGGCGUAAAGCGUGCGUAGGCGGUUUCGUAAGUCGUGUGUGAAAGGCCCGGGCUCAACCCGCGGACGGCACAUGAUACUAUGAGACUAGAGUAAUGGAGGGGAAACCGGAAUUCUCGGUGUAGCGGUGAAAUGCGUAGAUAUCG
Molecule: ribosomal RNA, 350 nt
Filed under: uncultured bacterium
Lineage: Bacteria
Description: partial 16S ribosomal RNA
Rfam family: Bacterial small subunit ribosomal RNA
Source: RNAcentral